AGCAGCCGCGGUAAUUCCAGCUCCAAUAGCGUAUAUUAAAGUUGCUGCAGUUAAAAAGCUCGUAGUUGAAUUUCGGGACCAUCAUGUCGGUCAUGCCUCGGUACGUACUGGCAUUGUUGGUUUCUCCCUUCUGACGAACCAUGAUGUCAUUUAUUUGGUGUCAUGGGAAAUCAGGACUGUUACUUUGAAAAAUUAGAGUGUUUAAAGCAGGCUCGCGCUUGAAUACAUUAGCAUGGAAUAAUGAAAUAGGACGUUUGAUUCUAUUUUGUUGGUUUCUAGGAUCGACGUAAUGAUUAAUAGGGAUAGUUGGGGGCAUUAGUAUUCAAUUGUCAGAGGUGAAAUUCUUGGAUUUAU
This 354-nucleotide ribosomal RNA is filed under the name uncultured Glomeromycotina. RNAcentral describes it as "SSU rRNA". It matches the Rfam family "Eukaryotic small subunit ribosomal RNA", at positions 569 to 929 of the family's 1831-position model. Lineage: Eukaryota; Fungi; Glomeromycota. The record is from RNAcentral.